CAAAAUUCGUUGAUGAGAACAAGGUCCGAUUUGUAUUUAUUUUCAGAGAGCCUGUGGGCGGUGCGAACAGGUAAUGGUCAGAUUGGAAUAUCCUCUCUAAGAAGCGGGCUGAAAGCAUUAAGUGUGUCUGUAAACCUCGCCGGUGUCCACCGUUAUAUGGAAAGCAUAUGCUGGUAUGCAGAGUGUCACAGUAAUACACUGUGGAAUCAGGGUGGUAACGCGGAUUAUUUCGUCCCUUUU
This 240-nucleotide non-coding RNA is filed under the name Agathobacter rectalis. RNAcentral describes it as "Eubacterium rectale T-box sequence". It matches the Rfam family "T-box leader". Rfam says of the family: Uncharged tRNA acts as the effector for transcription antitermination of genes in the T-box leader family. T-boxes are found upstream of many aminoacyl-tRNA synthetase genes and some amino acid biosynthetic genes usually in Gram-positive bacteria. Lineage: Bacteria; Bacillati; Bacillota; Clostridia; Lachnospirales; Lachnospiraceae. The record is from RNAcentral.